RNAcentral lists this transfer RNA (86 nucleotides) under Actinomycetota bacterium. RNAcentral's name for it is "tRNA-Ser". The record is from RNAcentral. Lineage: Bacteria; Bacillati; Actinomycetota.
GGAAGCGACCCGGCUGGAUGAGGAGCCUGUCUCGAAAACAGGUACGGGUCUCAGGGCCCCUGGGCGUUCGAGUCGCCCCGCUUCCG